RNAcentral lists this ribosomal RNA (497 nucleotides) under uncultured bacterium. Its description in RNAcentral is "partial 16S ribosomal RNA". It matches the Rfam family "Bacterial small subunit ribosomal RNA", at positions 28 to 507 of the family's 1533-position model. The record is from RNAcentral.
GAUGAACGCUGGCGGCGUGCCUAAUACAUGCAAGUCGAGCGAACGGACGAGAAGCUUGCUUCUCUGAUGUUAGCGGCGGACGGGUGAGUAACACGUGGAUAACCUACCUAUAAGACUGGGAUAACUUCGGGAAACCGGAGCUAAUACCGGAUGAUAUUUUGAACCGCAUGGUUCAAUAGUGAAAGACGGUUUUGCUGUCACUUAUAGAUGGAUCCGCGCUGCAUUAGCUAGUUGGUAAGGUAACGGCUUACCAAGGCAACGAUGCAUAGCCGACCUGAGAGGGUGAUCGGCCACACUGGAACUGAGACACGGUCCAGACUCCUACGGGAGGCAGCAGUAGGGAAUCUUCCGCAAUGGGCGAAAGCCUGACGGAGCAACGCCGCGUGAGUGAUGAAGGUCUUCGGAUCGUAAAACUCUGUUAUUAGGGAAGAACAUAUGUGUAAGUAACUGUGCACAUCUUGACGGUACCUAAUCAGAAAGCCACGGCUAACUACGUG